GCCUCGGUAGCUCAAUUGGUAGAGCGUUGGCACAGUAAGCCAAAGGUCCAAGGUUCGAGUCCUGGUCGAGGCU
RNAcentral lists this transfer RNA (73 nucleotides) under Mercenaria mercenaria. RNAcentral describes it as "transfer RNA threonine (anticodon AGU)". It matches the Rfam family "tRNA". From Rfam's summary of the family: Transfer RNA (tRNA) molecules are approximately 80 nucleotides in length. Their secondary structure includes four short double-helical elements and three loops (D, anti-codon, and T loops). The record is from RNAcentral. Lineage: Eukaryota; Metazoa; Mollusca; Bivalvia; Venerida; Veneridae.